GUCCAACACAGUGUCGCCUUCCUUGGCCCUGUCGCAGAGAUAGAUAAAAGUGAAUUGAGAAGUGGGAGCAAGGCAACAAGAAAUACUAGUGCUGCUACUACUGUAUCGACAAUUGCUGCUGAUGUAGUAGAUACAAUUACAGAGCCUAGUAGAUUCCAUUUGGAUCAGGGAGGGGCCAUCGGCGAUCAAUAGAGCGUAUACAUCACAACAAAAACUCGGUCGGAAGGGAAAAGGUUUGUGCUUUCAUUGCAUUGAAUUGGAUUUAAAACCAAAAAUAAAAUUGCUAUUUGGCCAUGACCAUAACUGAAGAAAAGAAGAGAAAUUUGGAAAGGUACCCACCCGGUCCAAGCAACACUCAUCCUCUUCCAUACUCUAUGCCUUCCCAAACUAAACAGAUCGUUCAACUGCAGAGAGUAAGAAAACACAGAAUCGUAUCAUUAAAGCCAAGGUAAGCAGCAGAGGGCGAAGGAAGAGGGUAAGCAACUGACGUUGUCAUAUACAGGGGCAAUGCGGUUAAAAAGCUCCUGCCGCUCUGCUGCGCAUCGAAUCGGUCUGUAAUUGCUGGUGCAACGACGGCCGCUGCUUAGAGGCGGAAGAAUGAAUUGAACAAGUCCGUGUGCGUGUGCGUGUGCGGCCAUUCUAAUUCCUUAAGAUGGGGCGGGGAUCUGGCAAGUUUGGUCAAUUGAGAUGUGUAAUCAGAUCAGUUAUCUUUUCAAUAAUAAUACCAACACUAAUACUAAUAAUUUAGAGUGAAGGGAAGGAGGUGUCUGGUAUGUUCUGGUCGGGAAUCAAAUUUGUACUAACUAGGCUGAAUGUGAAGUGCUAGCCCUGUCCAGGUACUUGGUAGUGGUAGUAGCAGCUAAGAGAGAGAGAGAGAGAGAGGGGGAGAGAGAGAGAGAGAGAGAGAGAGAGAGAGAGAGAGAGAGAGAG
Molecule: long non-coding RNA, 930 nt
Organism: Andrographis paniculata
Lineage: Eukaryota; Viridiplantae; Streptophyta; Magnoliopsida; Lamiales; Acanthaceae
Exons: 3
Source: RefSeq, a predicted model, not a curated record